AAGUGACGAUAUCUCUCUUGAUAUUGAUCCGUUUUUAGAGAUUUUUAUAUUGUUAGAAAGCUUAUUCGAUUUCCCAUAAGUUUUAUGAAGAAACGUUUUGUUAAUUCGAAGUCAUACUAUGUCAAAAAGUUAGUUUUAUUCAAUAUCAUGUGAUUUGUUUCUUGAAUCUUGUUCUUGCAAAACUGUUUUGGUAAAAUUGCAAUAUCUCCUUGAAUAUAAUUCCAAUUUCAAAUAUUUUGGUAUCAUUGGAAAGGGAAUUUAAUUUCCUAAAACUUUGAUGAAGAUGUUAUCUUCUAGUUCUGAACCAUUCAAUGUCAAAAGUUUAUAUUUUUACUAAGUUGUGUAAUUCGUUACUCCAUAUUCCUUCUCAGAAAUAGUUUCAGUAAAACAAUCAUAACUCCCUCAGUUUUAAGCCAUUUUUAAUGAUCCUUAUAUCAUUGGAAAGAUAAUAAAAUUUCCUAUAAUUUUUAUGAAGACAACUUUCACUGAAUUAGUAUAGUUGUUGGUCAAAAAUAGUGAUCUUUCUGCUGUACUGUAAGAGUACGAAUUUUAAUGUUAGGGCCUUGAACCAUGUGUUGUUAUAGGUAGUAAUGACGAGAUAACAAGUCUUAAGCAGCGGGAUUUGAGGAUCUUGUCCUCAACAAGAAAAUUUAUUGAGGUGCUUGGAGUAGCAAGAAGGUGUUCUUAACAACUGAGGUAAAGACAAAACUAAACAGUGAGGAUGGCGAGCUCGAGGCGUGGAUUACAUGUUAGGGGAUUGUCACGAUGUUUUGGUUUAAAAAUAUUUCAUUUAAGAUUAUGAUUCAAAUAGUUUUUGUAAGGCUUUAUACUUUAAAGUUAUUAAUAAAUAAAUGUUUUGUUUUAAAAAUAAUGAGAUCUCAUGCUUAGUUAUUUUUUUUUAUUAAAGAAGUCUUUUAUUGUCUUUAUCUUAAAUGGUUUUAAACGGACUAGCUAGUGUGACGUCUCGGGAAAUCAGGGCGUUUCAAUAUGGUAUCAGAGCAAUACAGUCCUAAAGGAUGUGGUUGACCCUAACAUGUAAAGUUCAUUGCCACGAGACGAGCUCGACUCACUGUACUGUAAGUUUUAGUUAAUCUGUUCAUGUUAGUCUUACAUAUUUUAUGUUGCGUUACAUCUUUAGUGUAACUAGAAGUUUUCUUUGCGUUUAGAAGAAUAUGUCUUAAAAUUUUAUGGGUAGGAUUCGAUCUAUGAGAUAUUUUUGGAAAAAAAUAAUUCAAGGUAUUGCUAUAUUACGUAAUUUAAGUUUGAUUUUUGAUAAGUUGUACUUAUUUUCAUAAAUAAGGAGCAUAAGAAGAGUGUUUUUCAAAAUGAAAUUGUGUUAUAAGCAGAUUGGAAUAGAGUAUGUUAGGAAAAAAAAAAUUAGUUGCUAUAUUAGUAUUUCUAACGAGAGUGUAUGUUUCAGGUUUAAUAAAUUAGACAUAUAUAACUAUUGGUACGUUCUUAAGUUUGUUUUUUUUAAGUGUUAAUGGAUAGAUAAUUUUAAGCUCUACUCUUUUAUUAGAAAUAAUUAAGUUGAAUUUUGGUUAAGGGUGAAAUCUAAUCAUUAAGGUUAUAAUAGAAGAAUAGAUUGUGACAGUCAGUAGCCUCGUGAUUCGUAAGGAAAUUAGAUAGUUUUGUUUGUGUUUAUUUGCAUAAAUUUAAACUCUUUAUGUAUUGGAAUAUGGUUUAUGCUUUGUUAUUAUGAAUAUGUAUGUGGUACUGAGAAUGUGUGGUAUGGACACAAUAUGAGUUUAUGAAUUGAUAUAUUGAUUAGGGUUGUUUUGACUUGUAUAUGUUGUAUGUUGCAUUCAUAUAUUGUGUGUUGUAUGCUGCAAGUUGUAUGCUAACGUCUCAGGUAAAGUGAGGGACCAUGGUGGGGUAUGAUACGGGGUAAGGCCGUUGAAUGUAGAGAUACCCUACCCUGCAUUUUUCUGAGUCGUGUUUGAAAUUAUUAUGGUGGGGUAUGAUACGGGAUAAGGCCGUUGAAUGUAGAGAUACCCUACCCUACAUUUGUCUGAUUCGUGUAUGACAUUGUUAUAGUGGGGUAUGAUACAGUGAUGUUACUGUUGAAUAUAGAGAUACCCUAUCCUAUAACAAUGGUAGGGCUACAUAGGCCCAGGUUAUUAUAUGGGCAGAUUAGGCCCAGGAUAUUGUAAGGCCAGGCUAGGCCCAAGUUAUGUAAGUAAUGGCUAUGAUAUGCCAAUGUUAUGGUAAAGACAUGAUAUGGUUGAAAUAAUUUUUAUAUGUUAUUGCUAUGAUUGUGCUAUGAGUAUGACGUUAGGGUUGUGAUCCCUACAUAUAUGUAAUGGUUUCGUUUAGUACAAAUAAAUGGUAUAUGAUUAAGCGAGUAAAGAAAAAUAUAUAUGAGAAUUGGAUUAAGCGAUUUUCGUUCUCGAGUUAUUCUUAGAAAGAGUGAUUUUGAUAGUAAAUUUUAUUCAUAUUUCAUUAGUUGGAUGGAUUAGUAAAUGUUUCUUUUAUAGUGAUAUGCAUGUAGCUCAUUCCUGAGAGUAUGUUAACUUGUAUGCUUCUAAGCCUAUAUAUUGGCUAGCUCGCAUGUGUAAGAAGACCUUUAACGAUCUUUAGCUUACAUGUAGUUCAUGUAAUUUAUAGAAGACAUGUGGUCUGUUUGAAUGACAUCGGUUUGUUGAUGAUAUAUUGGAUCGUUAUGUGUAGGGCAACAUUCUUAAUAAUUAUGCUACGUAACUAUAAUAACGGAAUUGUAGCUUUAUGGAGGAAA
Molecule: long non-coding RNA, 2734 nt
Organism: Cannabis sativa
Lineage: Eukaryota; Viridiplantae; Streptophyta; Magnoliopsida; Rosales; Cannabaceae
Exons: 2
Source: RefSeq, a predicted model, not a curated record